RNAcentral lists this ribosomal RNA (384 nucleotides) under uncultured bacterium. Its description in RNAcentral is "bacterial SSU rRNA". It matches the Rfam family "Bacterial small subunit ribosomal RNA", at positions 30 to 417 of the family's 1533-position model. The record is from RNAcentral.
AUUGAACGCUGGCGGAAUGCUUUACACAUGCAAGUCGAACGGUAGAGGGGGCAACCCCUUGAGAGUGGCGAACGGGUGAGUAAUAUAUCGGAACGUGCCCAGUCGUGGGGAUAACGUAGCGAAAGUUACGCUAAUACCGCAUACGAUCUACGGAUGAAAGCGGGGGACUCGCAAGAGCCUCGCGCGAUUGGAGCGGCCGAUAUCAGAUUAGGUAGUUGGUGAGGUAAAGGCUCACCAAGCCGACGAUCUGUAGCUGGUCUGAGAGGACGACCAGCCACACUGGGACUGAGACACGGCCCAGACUCCUACGGGAGGCAGCAGUGGGGAAUUUUGGACAAUGGGCGCAAGCCUGAUCCAGCAAUGCCGCGUGCAGGAUGAAGGCCU